GGAGGCGAAAGGGGUCGGGUGACCCUCGUGGUCUUCAAAACCAUAGCCCGUGUCCUUCGCGGAUUCGGGGGUGGGUUCGACUCCCACACGCUUCC
Acidobacteria bacterium 13_2_20CM_2_57_6 is the source of this 95-nucleotide non-coding RNA. The record is from Rfam. Lineage: Bacteria; Pseudomonadati; Acidobacteriota.